GUGCCAGCAGCCGCGGUAAGACAGAGGGUGCAAACGUUGCUCGGAAUUACUGGGCGUAAAGCGCGUGUAGGUGGUUUGGCAAGUCGGACGUGAAAGCCCAGGGCUCAACCCUGGAAGUGCAUUCGAUACUACCAAGCUGGAGUACUGAAGAGGAGAGCGGAAUUCCCGGUGUAGAGGUGAAAUUCGUAGAUAUCGGGAGGAACACCAGUGGCGAAGGCGGCUUCCUGGCCUGUAACUGACGCUGAGACGCGAAAGCGUGGGGAGCGAACCGGAUUAGAUACCCGGGUAGUCC
RNAcentral lists this ribosomal RNA (292 nucleotides) under uncultured bacterium. RNAcentral describes it as "partial 16S ribosomal RNA". It matches the Rfam family "Bacterial small subunit ribosomal RNA", at positions 505 to 796 of the family's 1533-position model. The record is from RNAcentral.